Molecule: long non-coding RNA, 472 nt
Filed under: Helianthus annuus (common sunflower)
Lineage: Eukaryota; Viridiplantae; Streptophyta; Magnoliopsida; Asterales; Asteraceae
Description: hypothetical non coding rna
Source: RNAcentral
UUUGAGGGUACAUAGAAGAUCCGAGUAGCAUCUUGGCGGGGCAAUAUCCAGGUUGCAUAGUUCUCACUUUGCAACCGUGUGUUGCAGCCAUGGCUUUACCCGUAGUUGUGUUCAUCUCUCAAUUACAUGUCUGAGUCUUCCAGUAGUAAAAGUAUUAUCACAGAUUCACAGAUCUAAAAGUACAUGUCUGAAAGACAGCUUGCUUGCUGCAGUCUCUAUAAACUGAGCUUUGUUCUUAAUAUGUCUGAACUGAAACUGUUAAGGCUAUGAUGCAUAAGCUGAGCCUGUGAGGUUACAUAUGUGUUUCUUGUGCUUAAAACACUUGUACAUCAUGCUUUAAAGGUUGUUUAAGUUUAGUGGAAAAUUACUCUUGUACAUCAUGCUUUAAAGCGGGGUUACAUAACACAAUAGACUGUGAUGAUGAUUGUAUUUUGAGGGUACAUAGAAGAUCCGAGUAGCAUCUUGGCGGGGC